Molecule: transfer RNA, 66 nt
Filed under: Placobdella parasitica
Lineage: Eukaryota; Metazoa; Annelida; Clitellata; Rhynchobdellida; Glossiphoniidae
Description: transfer RNA Aspartic Acid
Source: RNAcentral
AAGAUUUUAGUUAAAAUAAUAACAAUAGCUUGUCAAGCUAUAAUUAUAUAAAUAAUAUAAAUCUUA